GCUUAUCCUCCAAGAUAUAAUUAAAAAGAGAUCAGAAGUUGAACAUUGCAGCUCAUUCGAUUUCUCAACUCAGCUAGUGAGUGAAGGCUGCUGUGGUAAAACGCAUAGAUGCACUAACAGGAGUGGAAGGCUAGAUCGUAAGGUAUAAUCUUUCAAUAUAGUAAUUUGAAAGUCUUUUGACGGUUGAAUUCGAGUAGUCUUUCCAGAAAAAAUUUCUUUAUAUUCAGAAUUAUAUUCAUAUGAUCAUCAUGAUUGUAGAUAAAUUGGAGUGACAGAAGGUGGCUGUACAAUACAACGCUCUCUAAAUUUGUAAAUUGAAAAAACAUGCGAAAGACAUUAGUGAUAAAACAGUUAUAUACAUGUGAAGAAAGAACAACCUAUUGCCUUGUCUGUCUAUAGACCUUUUACAUUUUGGAGUUGAUGAGGCUAUACACAACAACAAGCCCCAUGAUCAGAGAAUGAUCAAUAAAGGGCUCCACCACCAUUGUCAUAACAUCUUCUCCUAGCACAACUCCACAUGCUGACUGCUUUCUCUGUACCUGUUUUAAUUUGCACACACAGAUAACACACUAAUUAGCCUUCAUAUUAACGGCCUCCUAAAGCAAAGAAAUCAGGAAGAGGCCUUAGCCAAAUUGAGUGGUUCACCUCUGCGAUGAGCCCUCCACACUUGUCUACUAUCUUGUAUGCUGACUUGCUGGUCCAGCUUUCUAUCUUGUACUGGCAUGGUUGAUUCUUAUCCAACCCAACAGUUAUAUUGCAUGGUGCAUCUCCUCUCAACAGCCUCAAAGUUUUUCUCACUUGAAAGCCAGGCUUGGUCUUGUCAAUUUCUGAACCUUCGCAUCUGUAGCCCUCCCAGAACCCCAACAACUUGAGUUUCUAGUUAGAGAAAAGCAAAGCACAACUUGUUAAAAGGGGAAUUUAGUGCAACUUUCACAAAAAGAUGUUGCUGUGUAUGUUACCUUUCUCAGUAUGGUGUACAGGACUUUGCCUUCGAAAUCCAUGAGAUGAACUUCAUUGCUACUCUUGCUGUCAUAGUUAUCGACCCGAUACACAACAUGGCCAUCUGAAUCAAACACAGUACAGCCUUUGCCACUCAGUACUAGAGACUUCAUCCACACCGUGAAUGAUUCUUGUUUGGAAGAGAGGUAACAAGGGUCU
This 1158-nucleotide long non-coding RNA is filed under the name Populus trichocarpa (black cottonwood). RNAcentral describes it as "long non-coding RNA (PTRI_LNC000913)". Lineage: Eukaryota; Viridiplantae; Streptophyta; Magnoliopsida; Malpighiales; Salicaceae. The record is from RNAcentral.